AUAAAGAAGUUAGUGGAAGUUCAGGCAAUAAUUCAGAAUUGAGAAGAUAUCUUGAGGAAGAUAGUGAUGAAUUUGAUAUAUUAAUGUGGUGGAAAGUUAAUGAGCCGAGAUUUCCUAUUCUCGACGGAAAUGGUUCGUGAUGUGUUAGCCAUUCCCAUUUCAAGUAUCGCAUCAGAAUGUGCAUUCAGCAAAGGAGGUCAUGUUCUUGAUCCCUUUAGGAGUUCAUUAACUCCUAAAAUUGUGAAAUCUCUUAUUUGUGUUCAAGAUUGGCUUAGAAGUGAGUCUUUUCCAAUCAAUAUUGAGAAAGAUUUAGAGUAUCUUGAACAACUUGAACUUGAUUUUGCUUGUAGUGGGACUGAAUCUAGUAUAAUUGAUAUAUAGUUGCAGCUUGUAAGUUCAACUAUCAACUAGUGAUGUGUGAUAACGAGUUCAUCAAUGUUUUGUUAUUUUCUUGGUUGCUAUCUGCUAGAACUUUGGAGCUAUUGCAAUCGAGGUUGCAAGUUGCAACGAUGUUUUGUUGUCUUUGUUGCUGGAAGUUGCAAUGAGCCAGAUAAUGAUGACUUUAGUUUUUAACUAACUCUAUUUUAGUGGAUGGACACAAGUUUGUUGACCUUUCUA
This is a long non-coding RNA of Solanum pennellii, 618 nucleotides long. RefSeq lists it as uncharacterized. The transcript has 3 exons. The record is from RefSeq and is a predicted model, not a curated record. NCBI's taxonomy places the organism in Eukaryota, Viridiplantae, Streptophyta, Magnoliopsida, Solanales, Solanaceae.